Armigeres subalbatus is the source of this 874-nucleotide long non-coding RNA. RefSeq lists it as uncharacterized. Lineage: Eukaryota; Metazoa; Arthropoda; Insecta; Diptera; Culicidae. The record is from RefSeq and is a predicted model, not a curated record. The transcript has 3 exons.
AAAAAUGACAACACAAGUUGUCAGACUUCCGUGAGUAUUUUCAUCGAUUUACGGUCCACUGUUUCGGGUUCCUAUCGAACUCCAACUUGAAGAAUAUUUUGAGCUACCCAACAAAAAUGAAUUCAAGUGCAUACGGAGUGAUGUCAACAAUAUUACCAAAAUCCUGUCAUGGCUUUCAACCGUUUGAAAACUAUCCAGUGGUUUUGCAUUGCAAGAAUCUCCAAAAAACCUGAAGUUUUCUAGACGUCUUUAUGCGGAGGAUGGUAAGCCGAAAUGCAAGCUGGCCUUUCUAAAUGUAUGAGACUAUGUGCGACUAUCAGUGCAUCAAACAUAAUAUUCUAUGAAAGGUAAUCCAAAUACACUAAGAUAUAAGGCAACGACAGGUAUUUCCGGAAGGUUAUUGCGUUUCAAGCCAACCCUCUAGAGUGAUAAUUAUAACGGUUAGUAUUAUGCUUCUCGAGAUUUUAUAGCAUUUUGCUAUUUUACCUCUGUCUCUCUCGAUUGUGCGCCGCUAAGGUAUUUGCCAUAUUGUGGUACCUUGAUUAUGGAAAUGCAAAAUAUUUCAUCACGUAUUACACACGAUUACCUAAUGGGAAUUAUUACUACAGUAUACUGAUCCAAAUGCAGUAGCAACAAAUGUAAAAAAAUAAAAAAGAUCCCGUUUAUUCCACCAAACACUAACUAUCCAUCGAGGGACAAUAAUAUGUUGCAUACCUUAAAAGCGAAUGUGAAAAACCGCGCCAAAAGAUCACAUCUGUUUGACAUGUCUUUAUUUACUUUUUGCAUGGCGCACAACUCGGCGCACGGGAGCCGGCGCGUAACUGGCGCGCCAGUUUGCGGAUUUAAGAAAAGAAUCGCAAUAUUAACGUACGGC